Molecule: ribosomal RNA, 424 nt
Filed under: Plestiodon chinensis formosensis
Lineage: Eukaryota; Metazoa; Chordata; Lepidosauria; Squamata; Scincidae
Description: partial 16S rRNA
Rfam family: Bacterial large subunit ribosomal RNA
Source: RNAcentral
UGUCUUCUAAAUAAAGACCAGUAUGAACGGCUAAAUGAGGACAAACCUGUCUCUUGCAACCAAUCAGUGAAACUGAUCUCCCGGUCCAAAAGCCGGGAUAACCCCAUAAGACGAGAAGACCCUGUGGAGCUUUAAACAAACCACUACGCAUCACACUAAGCCGCAAUUAGUGGGGAGUUUUAAGUUGGGGCGACUUCGGAACCAAAGAAAACUUCCGAGCACAGAACCACCCAUUCUUACUAAGACCAACAAGUCAAAGUCUAAACAUGACCCAGUAAUACUGAUCAACGAACCAAGUUACCCCAGGGAUAACAGCGCCAUCUUCUUCAAGAGUUCAUAUCGACAAGAAGGUUUACGACCUCGAUGUUGGAUCAGGACACCCAAAUGGUGCAGCCGCUAUUAAAGGUUCGUUUGUUCAACGAUU